This 88-nucleotide transfer RNA is filed under the name Penicillium nordicum. It matches the Rfam family "tRNA". Rfam says of the family: Transfer RNA (tRNA) molecules are approximately 80 nucleotides in length. Their secondary structure includes four short double-helical elements and three loops (D, anti-codon, and T loops). Further hydrogen bonds mediate the characteristic L-shaped molecular structure. tRNAs have two regions of fundamental functional importance: the anti-codon, which is responsible for specific mRNA codon recognition, and the 3' end, to which the tRNAs corresponding amino acid is attached (by aminoacyl-tRNA synthetases). tRNAs cope with the degeneracy of the genetic code in two manners: having more than one tRNA (with a specific anti-codon) for a particular amino acid; and 'wobble' base-pairing, i.e. permitting non-standard base-pairing at the 3rd anti-codon position. Lineage: Eukaryota; Fungi; Ascomycota; Eurotiomycetes; Eurotiales; Aspergillaceae. The record is from Rfam by way of RNAcentral.
GGCGGUUUGGCCGAGUGGUUAAGGCGGUAGCCUCGAAUGAAACUAGCUACUCUGUUCGCAGUCGCAUGUUCGAAUCAUGCAGCCGUCG